Molecule: ribosomal RNA, 523 nt
Filed under: uncultured bacterium
Lineage: Bacteria
Description: partial 16S ribosomal RNA
Rfam family: Bacterial small subunit ribosomal RNA
Source: RNAcentral
GAUUAACGCUGGCGGCGUGCCUAAUACAUGCAAGUCGAACGCUUUUUCUUUCACCGGAGCUUGCUCCACCGAAAGAAAAAGAGUGGCGAACGGGUGAGUAACACGUGGGUAACCUGCCCAUCAGAAGGGGAUAACACUUGGAAACAGGUGCUAAUACCGUAUAACACUAUUUUCCGCAUGGAAGAAAGUUGAAAGGCGCUUUUGCGUCACUGAUGGAUGGACCCGCGGUGCAUUAGCUAGUUGGUGAGGUAACGGCUCACCAGGGCAACGAUGCAUAGCCGACCUGAGAGGGUGAUCGGCCACACUGGGACUGAGACACGGCCCAGACUCCUACGGGAGGCAGCAGUAGGGAAUCUUCGGCAAUGGACGAAAGUCUGACCGAGCAACGCCGCGUGAGUGAAGAAGGUUUUCGGAUCGUAAAACUCUGUUGUUAGAGAAGAACAAGGAUGAGAGUAAAACGUUCAUCCCUUGACGGUAUCUAACCAGAAAGCCACGGCUAACUACGUGCCAGCCGCCGCAGUAA